RNAcentral lists this unclassified non-coding RNA (376 nucleotides) under soil metagenome. Its description in RNAcentral is "partial contains 5.8S ribosomal RNA, internal transcribed spacer 2, and large subunit ribosomal RNA". The stretch from base 1 to 120 matches the Rfam family "5.8S ribosomal RNA", at positions 35 to 154 of the family's 154-position model. The record is from RNAcentral.
GAUGAAGAACGUAGCGAAAUGCGAUAAGUAAUGUGAAUUGCAGAAUUCAGUGAAUCAUCGAAUCUUUGAACGCAUCUUGCGCUCCUUGGUAUUCUGAGGAGCAUGCCUGUUUGAGUGUCAUUAAAUUCUCGACUACACUGACUUUGAAUUGGUGUGGCUUGGAUUUGGGGGGAAAAUUGUUGUGGGCUUUUUGUAUAGUCUGCUCCCCUGAAAUUGAUUAGCGGUACCUUUGUGGAACUGUCUACAGGUGUGAUAAUUAUCUACAUCUUAGACAUCUGCUGGAAUGCUGCUUUCUAAACCUUACUUGUAUUGACAAUCUUGACCUCAAAUCAGGUAGGACUACCCGCUGAACUUAAGCAUAUCAAUAAGCGGAGGA